This 69-nucleotide transfer RNA is filed under the name Physiculus japonicus (Japanese codling). Its description in RNAcentral is "tRNA-Glu". It matches the Rfam family "tRNA". From Rfam's summary of the family: Transfer RNA (tRNA) molecules are approximately 80 nucleotides in length. Their secondary structure includes four short double-helical elements and three loops (D, anti-codon, and T loops). Lineage: Eukaryota; Metazoa; Chordata; Actinopteri; Gadiformes; Moridae. The record is from RNAcentral.
AUUCCCGUAGUUGAAUUACAACGUUGGUUUUUCAAGUCAGUGGUCCUGAUGAAAAUUCAGGUGGGAAUG